This 544-nucleotide long non-coding RNA is filed under the name Lupinus angustifolius (narrow-leaved blue lupine). Its description in RNAcentral is "long non-coding RNA (LANG_LNC003515)". Lineage: Eukaryota; Viridiplantae; Streptophyta; Magnoliopsida; Fabales; Fabaceae. The record is from RNAcentral.
UCAUAUUGUAUUUUAAUUAGUUAACAAUUUUUUUUGCGUUUUACAAUAACCAGGAAUCAAAGGUAAACAAAUGUGAUUAGCUUACCAUACAUGAACAUUCACAUACCACUUUUAGAAUAAUGAAGAAACUCCAGAUUCUUGACAGUUGGAUUAUUGGAUGAUACAUAAUCAAAUAUCACAAUUGAGGCAAAAACUUAUAUCAUUGAGGUGUUUCUGAAACAUGAAGAAACAAUCAAUAAAAAUAGUAAUUCAUUUAAAUAAAAAAAUAUAUAUAAACAAAAUAAGAGAUUUAUAUAGAGAGAAAACUAACCUGCGGAGAUGCUUCAAAGGAGAACCAAAUUGCAAAUGAAGAGAGAAUAAUAUAAGGACGUGAUAAGAUGAGGAAAUAAAUAGAUUAAUAACAACAACAAACAAAUACAAUAUUGUAAGUGAAAGUUUGAUCGUCCUUGAGAGUGCGACCUUGUAAAUUAGACGCUAACAAAAAUGAUCGUAGGAAGAACAUAUCUAUAAAAUAAUAAAAUCAAUAAGAACGAAUCUACAAAAU